This 75-nucleotide transfer RNA is filed under the name Pyrinomonadaceae bacterium. RNAcentral describes it as "tRNA-Thr". It matches the Rfam family "tRNA". From Rfam's summary of the family: Transfer RNA (tRNA) molecules are approximately 80 nucleotides in length. Their secondary structure includes four short double-helical elements and three loops (D, anti-codon, and T loops). Further hydrogen bonds mediate the characteristic L-shaped molecular structure. tRNAs have two regions of fundamental functional importance: the anti-codon, which is responsible for specific mRNA codon recognition, and the 3' end, to which the tRNAs corresponding amino acid is attached (by aminoacyl-tRNA synthetases). tRNAs cope with the degeneracy of the genetic code in two manners: having more than one tRNA (with a specific anti-codon) for a particular amino acid; and 'wobble' base-pairing, i.e. permitting non-standard base-pairing at the 3rd anti-codon position. The record is from RNAcentral. Lineage: Bacteria; Pseudomonadati; Acidobacteriota; Blastocatellia; Blastocatellales; Pyrinomonadaceae.
GCCCGAGUAGCUCAGGGGUAGAGCGCAUCCUUGGUAAGGAUGAGGUCCCGGGUUCAAAUCCCGGCUUGGGCUCCA